This 494-nucleotide ribosomal RNA is filed under the name uncultured bacterium. RNAcentral's name for it is "partial 16S ribosomal RNA". It matches the Rfam family "Bacterial small subunit ribosomal RNA", at positions 28 to 507 of the family's 1533-position model. The record is from RNAcentral.
GACGAACGCUGGCGGCGCGCUUAACACAUGCAAGUCGAACGGAAAGGCCUGCUUUCCCUUGUGGAUUGCGGGUACUCGAGUGGCGAACGGGUGAGUAACACGUGAGUGAUCUGCCCCCAACUUGGGUAUAAGCCUGGGAAACUGGGUCUAAUUCCCGAUAGGACUGCAGGGUGGUGCCUGUGGUGGAAAACGAUUUUCUAGUGGUUGGGGAUGGGCUCGCGGCCUAUCAGCUUGUUGGUGGGGUAAUGGCCUACCAAGGCGGCGACGGGUAGCCGGCCUGAGAGGGUGGACGGCGACAUUGGGACUGAGAUACGGCCCAGACUCCUACGGGAGGCAGCAGUGGGGAAUAUUGGACAAUGGGCGGAAGCCUGAUGCAGCGACGCCGCGGGGGGGAUGACGGCCUUCGGGUUGUAAACUCCUUUCGACCGCGAGGAAGCCACCUGGUUGGAAGGGUGGUGACGGUAGUGGGAGAAGAAGCACCGGCUAACUACGUG